UUCGGAGUGUAAACCACUGUUGCCCGGGACGAAAGCGCUCUAUUGGGGGCGUUGACGGUACCGGGUGAGGAAGCACCGGCUAACUCCGUGCCAGCAGCCGCGGUAAUACGGAGGGUGCAAACGUUGUCCGGAAUCACUGGGCGUAAAGGGCGCGUAGGCGGCUCAUAAAGGCUGUGGUGAAAGUUCGGGGCUCAACCUCGAAUCGGCCGUGGCGACUUGUGGGCUGGAGCACUGUAGAGGCGGGUGGAAUUCCGGGUGUAGCGGUGGAAUGCGUAGAGAUCCGGAAGAACACCAGUGGCGAAGGCGGCCCGCUGGGCAGUGGCUGACGCUGAGGCGCGACAGCGUGGGGAGCAAACAGGAUUAGAUACCCUGGUAGUCCACGCCGUAAACGAUGGGCACUAGGUGCUUGGGGGAGCGACCCUCUGAGUGCCGGCGCUAACGCAUUAAGUGCCCCGCCUGGGGAGUACGGCCGCAAGGCUGAAACUCAAAUGAAUUGACGGA
RNAcentral lists this ribosomal RNA (501 nucleotides) under uncultured bacterium. RNAcentral's name for it is "bacterial SSU rRNA". It matches the Rfam family "Bacterial small subunit ribosomal RNA", at positions 417 to 917 of the family's 1533-position model. The record is from RNAcentral.